AGACAUUUCUCUCUCUCUCUCACUGUCUAUAACUCUACCUGUGAAAUAAUAAAGAAAAAAAGUGUCCCUCUUUCUAAAGGAGAUAAAGCAGCCCAACUUUAUGUUUCCAUUACACCAGGUAUGGAAUUCCCCAUCUUUAUGACUCACCAGGAUCUUGAAGAGAUGAGUGUGCAAGUGAAAGGAGAGACAGGAGAGACAGGACAUGGAAACAGUUCCUCUGCAAAGUGCUGCCAAACUAACCCGGUUGAACAACAUGCAUACCCAACCUCAGGACACCAGAAUAUAUAAGCAAAUGUUGACAGCUCUGAAGGGAUAAACAGCAAUGGAACAAACAGAAUGUAUUACUACUCCACUUUCAAGAGUGGUAGAUUUGAGCAAUAUUAUAAAUCAACUUUUCCUAACAGUUAUACAGAGAGCAUUCUACCUGACAGCAGCAGAACAUGUGUUCUUCUCAACAGCUGUCAACAAUUCUCCAGAAUUUUAGGAGUCCACUGAAAGGGGAUGAUUUGGAAUGGCAGACUUUUGACCCAGCUACAGAAAGUCUCCUCCCAACUGAUGUUGAGCUCUCCCAACUGAUGUUGAGCUCCGUAUCAAGAACUGCCAGCUGAGGGAUCCAUGCUACACUCCUCUGCCAAGGUAGGACCCUCAUCAGAACAAAGCAUGAAAAUCUGCAUAAUUGUUAAUCAAAUAGACUCAUUGUUCUAUUUCCAACCUCACUCUGCAACUGUCCUGUUGGCUUGUUGGGAAAGAGCUCACUUUGGAUUGGGGGAUCUCUUUCCCCCAAGAGUACUGGAUUUUUUAAAU
This is a non-coding RNA of Oryctolagus cuniculus (rabbit), 804 nucleotides long. NCBI's taxonomy places the organism in Eukaryota, Metazoa, Chordata, Mammalia, Lagomorpha, Leporidae. The record is from RefSeq and is a predicted model, not a curated record.